UGCUCAUCAGUAAGAGUGCCCAUCUCUUCAAUGUAGAAGGCUUGCCCGAACACAGUUGGUUUCUUCAUUUUCUCCUUGAUGUCAAAGUGGAGAACAUGCCCUUUACCCAAAUGGAGAUCAAUCGUGCCCGCUUUCACCUUAACAAUUGCUCCUGCUGUAGCUAAGAAUGGCCUUCCAAGAAUCAAUGGGUCCUGAGCCUCCUCACCCAUCUCAAGCACCACAAAAUCUGUAGGUAUCUCAUACCUUCCAAUCUUCACAGGUAGGUCUUCUAAGAUGCCCACAGGGUACUUCACUGAACGAUCAGCUAACACCAGAGAGAGUCCACACUUCUUGUACUGAGUGAAUCCCAGCUUCUUUGCAACAGACAAAGGCAUCACGCUGACACUAGCUCCCAAAUCGCAGAGACAUUUCUCAAAUACCAUAGGUCCAAGAGCACAAGGUAGUGUGAAGCAUCCUGGAUCCUCUAACUUCUCUGGAACAUCAAGCCUUUGGAUGAUGGAACUGCACUCAUGGGUAAGAAUCAUCAUGCUUUCCAUUUCCUUCUUCUUUGCAGCUACAACAUCUUUCAGGAACUUGUUGUAUUGAGGAAUCAACAUGAAAGCAUCGAUGAUGGGCAUUGCAACCUGAGCUUCACUCAUUUGCUUGUCAAACAAAGCCUUGAACUUCUCUAGCAGCUGCCUCUUGAAUCUACCAGGGAAUGGUAGUUUGGGUUCAUAGGGAGGAGGAACAAAAGAGUUCUCACUUGCUGGAGCAAGAACUUCACCAUCUUUCACUGUUUUCUUCGCUUCCCCAACCUUUCCUUUACCCUUGGCUUCCACAAUCUUCUCCAAGAUUUCAUCAUUGAUUUUCUCAUCAACAAUCACCACUUCAUCAUCUAAGUUGAUGGCCACCUCUUCACCUAGUUUCUCAGCAUCACUGGUGAGGGUUGUAGGAGGUAACUGCUUACCACUCCUAAGGGUGAUAGCUUUGGCCUCCUUGGGGUUUUGGUCAGAUUUUCCAGGAAGAGAUCCUUGCUGGCGAGUCUGGUGAGUGUUCAUGGAAGCAAACUGAUUCUCUAAAUUCUUGACUGUAGAAGCAAGAUGUGAGAACUUGUUGUUGAGCUCAUUGUAGCUUCCAUCAAUCUUGGAAUGAAGGUUUUUCAACUCAUAUCCAACAUGCUUCUCACUUCUAGUCUGAGACUCCAAGAUUUGUUUCAGCAGGGUGUCAGUGCUGCUCUCUUGAGGAGCAGAGGAACCAGAUGAGGGGUUUUGAUGAGGUUGAUAGCUGCCUUGCUGGUUGUUUCGAGGCGGAUAACCACUCUGUUGGUUGUUGGGGUAGGAUUUCUGUUGGUAGUUGUUGUACUGAAAGUUGGGCUCUUUUUUGUACCAGCUACCAUUGUUGUUGAUGAAACACAGGUCUUUCUGACCUUCCAAGCCCUCAACCUCAUGGACAACAGGUGGUGUAUCUUGGCUUGGGUUACCAACAAAGUGCAGCUGCUCUUGUGUGGCUUUAUCGGCAAGGAGGAUGUCUAUCUUAUCCUGUAGAGCUUUCAACUCCUUCCUCGUCUGCUUAUCAUCUGUUCGACUGCUUCUGUCGUGGUCUCCACUGUAGACUGCAUCACUCUUUACCAUGUUGUCAACCAGCUCCUCUGCAUCUUCCUCAGUUCUCCCCAAGAAGAACCCAUUGCUAGCUGUAUCCAGUCUGGCCCUGUACUUAGGAAGAGCACCACGGUAGAAUGUGCUCAGCAAGCUCUCCUUAGAGAAACCAUGGUGUGGGCAUUGAGCUUGGUAGCCCUUGAAUCUCUCCCAGGCUUCACUGAAUCCUUCCAAGUUCUUCUGUUGGAAACUGGAGAUCUCAUUUCUCAGCUUAGCAGUUCUUGAGGAUGAGAAGAAUUUCUCCAAGAAUGCUCUCUUGCACUCAUCCCAAGUGGUGAUAGAGUGGCUGGGUAGAGACUUCUCCCACUGACAUGCCUUAUCCCCCAAAGAGAAAGGGAAUAGCUUGAGCUUUAAGGCAUCUUCGGACACACCAUUGGUUUUUGACAACCCACAGUAGCUGUCGAACCUAUCCAAGUGAUCAAAUGGGUCCUCCAGAGCCAAGCCAUGAUACUUGUUGUUCUCGAUCACGUUGAGGAGUCCUGACUUGACCUAAAAGUUGUUGGCUGCCACAGCUGGUGCUCGGAUUCCGAAUCUGUGACCAUGUAUGUUGGGGCGGUCGUAAGUGCCAAUGGGUCGAGCUGUCCGCGGUUGGUGUUCUGCCCCUUGCGGUGGAUCUGCCAUAUCAAUAUCCAAGUGGGCCUGGUGUUCUUCUUCUCUUCUAGCUCUAGCACACUCCCUCUCAAAAGCUCUGAUGUCUGCUACUAUUGGAACUAGGUUUGAUUGACCCCUGCUCCUCAAGUUCAUACACCUGAAAGUGAAAGGUAGGUGAAGAAGAAGAAUCAGUAACAAAACAAAAUUAAAAUGACUUAGUCUCAAGCAAGUGACUAAAUCUCAAUGUUUAAAUCUACUCAGAAUUUGGCAACGGCGCCAAUUUGAUGUUAGGAGUUUUCAAGGCUCCUAAGACAAAUGUUGUAGUAUAGUGAUUGUCGAACCAGUUCUGAGGGAUAUCAAAGCACUGAGAAUGCAAGUACUCACUUAAUCUAAGUGCAACCAAUGAUUUAGAUGGGUUUUAAGCUCCCAAUUUGAUGUUAGGAGUUUUCAAGGCUCCUAAGACAAAUGUUGUAGUAUAGUGAUUGUCGAACCAGUUCUGAGGGAUAUCAAAGCACUGAGAAUGCAAGUACUCACUUAAUCUAAGUGCAACCAAUGAUUUAGAUGAGUUUUAAGCUAUGACUAAAACUAGAAAGUAAUAACAGAAUGAUACUUCUUGACUAAGGGAUGACUAAAACUAGAAAGCAAUAACAGAAUGAUACUUCUUGACUAAGGGAAAAGAGAACUCAUGGGCAUAGGGAUUAGACCUUGGGUGAUCAAGUAUCGAACUAAGGAUGGCAAAUGAUCAAUCAAACUAUCAACCUUAAGCCUAGACACAAUUCUAAGCAAGCUCUAUGUCUAGAUGAAUGCUCAUUUGCUAACAUAUCUCAAACAUCAAAUGUCUUUGGUUGAAUAAUAUGAAAGCAAUCAUUACGAACAAGUCUAUUAGCUAUCUUAGCAUUUUUAACAACAAAUGUCUUUGGCAAAGUAUACUAAAAGCCUAGGAGAGUUGUCUCAGGCAUUUCAUCAAACACCUUUUGGGUGGGAAAUGCCUAUUGAUCAACUUUUGAGUGGCCAACUCAGAAGAUGCAUUAUGAAUACCCUACUAGCAAGGAACAAGAAUGAUCUACACUAAAACAUCCUAGAACUAACCUAAUCACCCUUGAUCUCCCUAACCCAUGAAUUCAAAAGGUGAUUACUCACUAAUCUCCAUGAUUCCUCUUAAACCCAUAUUGGAUUUCAGAUUAAUCAUGUAGAGAAAUAGAUAAGAAAUAAACAAUAACACAAGAACAUAACAAUCAAAAUCCAAGAGAUGAACUUCUCAAGAGAGUUUUUGUGUAUUUCUUAAUAGAUCAAAAGAUAAUCUGCCUGGUGGUGGCUUCCAGAGUAAAAAACAUAGGUUUAGAAAAUAAAAACGUGCAUAAUGAAAUGACCAAAAAGGCCCUUGAGAAAACAUGAAUUCGGCCAAACAAAUAGACGUGGAGCGACCUCGGCACGUCGCUGCGAGAGGUCGCUCCCAGGUCGUUUCCUCGCGAGCGACCUGGCUGUGUCGCUCCGAAGACGUCGCUCCCGGCUUGCUCAGAAACCAUAGACGCGAGCGACCUUAGGGUGUCGCUCUAGGAGGUCGCUCCCGGCUUGUUCGUCGCUCUCAAAUCGACACAACCCGAGCGACCUCUGGGUGUCGCUGCGGUGAGGUCGCUCUAGGAGCUGGAGCGACUUCGCCUUGUCGCUCUAGGAGGUCGCUCCGAAGCGUAGAUGGCGAGCGAGUUCAUGGCGUCGCUCCGGUAGGUCGCUCCCAUGCAUUGCUCGUCCAAUGAUCACUCUAAUCACCUCUUAUCACCUCCCUUGAGCUCCAAAUGUACCCAAAUGUCUCCAGGAACUCCAUGUGGUACUCCAAUACCUAAUGGAGACAUAUGUAUGCAAAAUGCAACCUAGACAUGGCUUAAUCCUAAUCUAUAUGAUGAAAAUGCACAUGAAUAAAUGGAUAAAACAAUGUGAAUAUGCAAGAUAUCAACUCCCCCAAACUUAUUCUUUUACUUGUCCUCAAGUGAACUUUCUAGAACUCAUAGGGAGAGAGGUUUGAAGGUGGGAGCUCAUAGCCAAAAGAAACACACAAAGCACUCAAAUCAACAUUUAAAUUCAGCAUUAGUACACCCUCUCUUAUUAUACUCUAGCUUCUCUAGGCCUAUCUGAACUCUUUCCAUCCCUACACUCAUCAUCAUGCAUUCACACAUGCAAAUCAGCCAACUCUCAAGUUCAUUAAGCAUAGCAUCAAGUGAAUUUUUGCAAAUGGUCAAUUGGUCCAAGUCAUUUGGUUGGGUAAGGGAAGGCUUUUAUUCAAGUGAGUCAAGAGGUUCAAAAUAUAUGAUUUUAAAGGUGGUUCACUCUCAAAACAAGUAGCCUUGACAUUGCACAUAAUAUAUCUAAGAAAGGGAUCAACUCAUGCAUACAAUGCUCAAUCUCCAUUGUUAUACCCUUUUCCCAAACAUACAAUUACACAAUCAUUCCCAAAUGUCAAAUCCAACUCACAUCUCUCACCAAAAGAUCCUAAGAACAUUAACUCCUUCUCUUUGAAAUCUACAAGGGAUUUUUCACAACCUCAAAACAUUACUUAGCUCCUAACAACUUUGCUAGCCACCCUUUUUCUUUCUUUUUCUUUUCUUUUCAUUUUUUUUUUUUUUUUAGAUGGGGGCCAAGACUUUUCAUAACUUGAGCUAGAGGUUUUUCUACUUAUCCCAAUAAGACAAUUCACUUAAACACAAAGAGUCAUUUAUUUUCCUUUUUCAUUGCUCCCAAAUCAUAAUCACAACUCUCACCCCCCACCUAUAGCUAGACAAUAGAUUGCCCAAUCUAGCAAGAAUGAAGAUCAAGCAUUGUCGUUCCCGAUACUCUCAACAUUAUGCACAUGUAAGACUUUCCGAAGAAGGCCUCACUCAUCAAACAAUGAAAGCUUAAAAGGAGGGAAAGGUUUUGGGAGUGGUCUACCACUAGAGUUUGUCAGAAUAAGAUUGGCAUAAAGGAUGUGACAACUCAGGUGUGUAUAGCCAUGACUCAGUACACAAGGGACCAUGAGCAAGAAGCAUUAAGUUCGUUUAGUUCAAAUAAGGUUGUAGUUGGCUUCAAAGACUGAGUUUCAGCAAUCAACAAGUUUCAGGAAGAGUUUUCAAGGCUCGAAACAUACAAGUCUUUUUGAGAGGUGCAAAAGCUACUCAGGUGCAACGUAGUGUUCUUUACAAGGCAUUUAAAAUCAUUGCUCCCAAUGCAAGUAAAUGCAACCUAUAUGCUCUAGACUCUCCUAGAAAUGCCAAAGAUGCAAACUAAAUGAAUUUUUUUUUUUAUGCAAAUAUAUAUGUAUAAUGCAAUGCAUGAGACUCAAAUCAUCAAAGCAAACGUGAUCAAAUACUUGGUACCUCCCCCAAACUUAAAUAACACAGUCUCUGUGUUGUCAAGGAGAGAGAGAUACCCAAAAAGAGAAAACUAAUAUGCAAAAACGAAAUGGUAUAUACAAGGGAAAGUAGUGGGUUACCUUCUAUGGAGAAUGAGUAGAGGGAGAUGCUCCCUCCUCGUCGUCCUCAGGUGGUAACUCUUCAAGGUGCUCAUCAGUAAGAGUGUCCAUCUCUUCAAUGUAGAAGGCUUGCCCGAACACAGUUGGUUUCUUCAUUUUCUCCUUGAUGUCAAAGUGGAGAACAUGCCCUUUACCCAAAUGGAGAUCAAUCGUGCCCGCUUUCACCUUAACAAUUGCUCCUGCUGUAGCUAAGAAUGGCCUUCCAAGAAUCAAUGGGUCCUGAGCCUCCUCACCCAUCUCAAGCACCACAAAAUCUGUAGGUAUCUCAUACCUUCCAAUCUUCACAGGUAAGUCUUCUAAGAUGCCCACAGGGUACUUCACUGAACAAUCAGCUAACACCAGAGAGAGUCUACACUUCUUGUACUGAGUGAAUCCCAGCUUCUUUGCAACAGACAAAGGCAUCACGCUGACACUAGCUCCCAAAUCGCAGAGACAUUUCUCAAAUACCAUAGGUCCAAGAGCACAAGGUAGUGUGAAGCAUCCUGGAUCCUCUAACUUCUCUGGAACAUCAAGCCUUUGGAUGAUGGAACUGCACUCAUGGGUAAGAAUC
This 6277-nucleotide long non-coding RNA is filed under the name Brassica napus (rape). Its description in RNAcentral is "long non-coding RNA (BNAP_LNC022120)". The stretch from base 1741 to 1847 matches the Rfam family "Plant small nucleolar RNA R71". The record is from RNAcentral. Lineage: Eukaryota; Viridiplantae; Streptophyta; Magnoliopsida; Brassicales; Brassicaceae.